Hyaena hyaena (striped hyena) is the source of this 307-nucleotide long non-coding RNA. RefSeq lists it as uncharacterized. The transcript has 4 exons. NCBI's taxonomy places the organism in Eukaryota, Metazoa, Chordata, Mammalia, Carnivora, Hyaenidae. The record is from RefSeq and is a predicted model, not a curated record.
GCGGCACGAGCGCCCCAGAUUUGGGGAAAUAAGUCCCAGGAGCCUGGUCUGAGAGUCACAAAUAUUGUCAUGUCUCCUUCAAAGCAGUUACACACUUUGUGGUUUAUCUGUGGUUUAUCCUCCCACAAAUGGAGAUUGGAUAAGACUCAUCAGGAUGUGCUCUUAGUAUUUUCAUUCUUCCCCAGGGAGUGAAAAUUGAAAAGAUUUUCUUCCUAUAUUUGUAUUUCUAUCUUGGGUAAAAGAGUCAGUCGAAGUUGCAGUCUUUCUUUGAAGGUAAUCUUUGAAGGUAUGAAGAAGGCAAUCUUAA